AUUAGCUGACGAGUCCCAAAUAGGACGAAAUGCGCGUUAUCCUGGACUGGAU
This 52-nucleotide non-coding RNA is filed under the name Trichobilharzia regenti. The record is from RNAcentral. Lineage: Eukaryota; Metazoa; Platyhelminthes; Trematoda; Strigeidida; Schistosomatidae.